This 784-nucleotide long non-coding RNA is filed under the name Homo sapiens (human). Its description in RNAcentral is "HSALNT0098386". The record is from RNAcentral. Lineage: Eukaryota; Metazoa; Chordata; Mammalia; Primates; Hominidae.
CUCUUAUUGGAUGUCAUGCAUUGUGAAUUUUACCUUGUGUUGCUAGCUAUUUUAGUAUUCCUAAAAAUGUUCCUGAGCUUUGUUUUAAAAAGCAGUUAAAUCAUUUGAAAACAGUUUAUUUUUUUGUCUUGCUUUGAAGAUGAGUUGUACAAGACCAUAGCUGUAUGUGGUGUUGGGCUGGUUAUCCCUCACUAUGAAGGCAAGCCUCUGAGUACUCUACUGAAUGCCCUGUGGAGCUUGGGGCUUUACAAUCUGGCUGGUAGGAACGGGCGCUAUUCCUGGCCCUCAGAACCUGAAGCUGUUCCCUCAGAUGCCCUUGAAUGUUUUUUUCCCCUGGCCUUGGAUAGUGCAUGUACUGCUCAGUGCUUUGCUACAUACUCUGGGGGACUCAUCAGGUAGCUCCAGAGUUCUCUGUGUAGCUGUAUACUCUUUAGAAUCUGCCCUGCACACUGCAGACACCUAAGUAUCUACAGACUUCUGUCUCCCAACUCAAAUUUUGCAGACCUCUGCCUUGCUUCUCUCCCUCCCUGCCCUACAGCCUGGACACUCCAGGCAGCGAGGCAGUGCAGCUGUAGGCUCACUUUGUUUGUUUUCUGUCUCACAGGGAUUAUUGUCAUUUGUUGCCUGAUGACCACUGGCCUGAAAACUGUUGUCUCGUGUAUUUUUUUUUCUGGCUUUUUGGUUGUGUCAGAAGGAACUUUCCUCUGUAACAACAACCGACAGCUUGACAAAGUGUGUUCCCAUUGUCCUGUGAUUGCUCUGCUUUUCAAAGUAAGCCUGCGAG